UGACUUGCUCAUUGAUACAUUUGCUAUGUCAAUAUGAGGUGCAUGGCGAAUUAUUUAAUUUAUUUGUCUCGCUUCUAGGAGCUGUAGAAACAACAGGGUGUUCUUUUUCAGGGUAUUCUUUUUUUAUAGAACUGGACAGGUCAUUUAUUCGUUCCCCUUGUUUUUUGAAGUGUCCUGCAGGAUGCUGUGUCCUGCAAUCCUGUGUGCUGUGCUACAGACGCGUGUGGAGGUCAACCCAAAAUGGGCACAGUCUCACCACAGAAGAGUGAAAGAGGAUCCUGGCAGGGAGACGGUAGUGUCCUGCAGAAUGGUGAUGGGCCAAUCUUACAAGAGACCACAGAAAACUGAUAUAGUGAACUAUAGAAACAGAGUGCCUGCUGCAGUAUGGCGAGGACACCCUGAGCAGAGAGCUCCAAUAGACCCAGGUCCAGUGUCUUGGCAGGGUGAAAUGGCACUGAUAUGGUGUCCUGCAGGAUGCUGUGUCCUGCAAUCCUGUGUGCUGUGCUACAGACGCGUCUGGAAGCCAACCUGAAAUAAGCACAGUCUCUCCACAGAGGAGUGAAAGAGGGUAAGCGUAACCUAUAGCCUACGUCAGUGGUGGGGAACCUUUCUCAUUCGAAGGGCCAAUUCAAAUUCAUCCGAGGGGCCGUAAAAGUCCUCCAAGGGCCGUACUAUGAACACAAACCAGGAUUUUCCCCUUCACUUUAGACCUAUAUUGAAGGCAGCCACAUUUAAACAAACACCACCUUCUUCAGCUUCCCUGAAUAUAACUUAAUUGUAUUGCAAAUGUAUUUUCUAAGGUUCCUUUACAAAAUAU
Engraulis encrasicolus (European anchovy) is the source of this 817-nucleotide long non-coding RNA. RefSeq lists it as uncharacterized. NCBI's taxonomy places the organism in Eukaryota, Metazoa, Chordata, Actinopteri, Clupeiformes, Engraulidae. The transcript is spliced from 4 exons. The record is from RefSeq and is a predicted model, not a curated record.